RNAcentral lists this ribosomal RNA (580 nucleotides) under uncultured marine eukaryote. RNAcentral describes it as "SSU rRNA". It matches the Rfam family "Eukaryotic small subunit ribosomal RNA", at positions 613 to 1198 of the family's 1831-position model. The record is from RNAcentral.
UUGCGGUUAAAAAGCUCGUAGUUGGAUUUCUGUUGAGAGCAGCGCGUCUACCUUUUGGGUAAGUAUGUUGCUUGGUCUCGGCAUCUUUUCGAAAAACGUUUCUGCGCUUGAUUGCGUGGGGCGGAGUUCGGAACCUUUACUUUGAGGAAAUUAGAGUGUUCACGGCAGGCAUACGCCCUGAAUAUAUUAGCAUGGAAUAAUAAUGUAGGACUUCGGUUUUAUUUUGUUGGUUUCUAGAGCUGAAGUAAUGAUUAAUAGGGACAAUUGGGGGCAUUCGUAUUAACGCGUCAGAGGUGAAAUUCUUGGAUUGCGUUACGACGAACUACUGCGAAAGCAUUUGCCAAGGAUGUUUUCAUUGAUUAAGAACGAAAGUAAGGGGAUCGAAGAUGAUUAGAUACCGUCGUAGUCUUACCAUAAACUAUGCCAACUAGAGAUGGGGCGUCGUUCUACUUUGACUCGCUCCGCACCUCAUGAGAAAUCAAAGUUUUUGGGUUCCGGGGGGAGUAUGGUCGCAAAGGCUGAAACUUAAAGGAAUUGACGGAAGGGCACCACCAGGAGUGGGGCCUGCGGCUUAAUUUGA